AUGGAUCUGGCAACGGGCGCCAUGGGCUCCCUGCUCCCCAAGCUGGCCGAGCUCCUCAAGGAGGAGUACAUGCUGCAGACGAGCAUCAAGAAAAAAGUCGACUCUCUCGAGAAGGAGAUGAAGAGCAUGCAGGCUGCCCUAUGCAAGGUGCGUGACGUGCCGCGAGACCAGCUCGACAUACAGGUCAAGCUCUGGGCAGGGGAGGUGAGAGAGCUAUCCUUUGACAUGGAGGAUGUCGUCGACAAGUUCCUGGUGCGUGUCCAUGAUGGCUCUGAGCUUGCAGCCAACUCAAAUAAGCUCGCACGGCUCAUCAAGAAUAUGGUCAGGUUGUUCACCAAGGGGAAGGCUCGCCGUGAGAUCGCCACUGCGAUCAAGGACAUCAAUAAGCAAGUCCAGGAGGUUGCUAACAGGCGUGGAAGAAACGCCGUCGACAAUAUUGUUUGCGGGCCUACAACAGUGACACCCGUCGAUCCUCGCCUUCGGGUUCUGUACACUGAAGUGACAGAGCUGGUUGGCAUUGUUGGAAAAAGGGAUCAAGAACUAAUGAAGUUGCUCUCAGAGGGAGACAUCCUGUCCAAGGAGAAGUUAAAAAUUGUCUCCGUUGUAGGAUUUGGAGGAUUGGGCAAGACUACUCUUGUCAAAACAGUUUAUGAUAAUAUAAAAGAAGAUUUUGAUUGCCGGGCUUUUGUUCCAGUGGGUAGAAAUGCUGAUGGGAAGAAAGUUCUCAUGGACAUCCUUGUUGAUCUUGGCAUGUGCGGAAGCAAUCUCACCCUGUGGAAUGAAAGACAGCUUAUCAACAAACUCAGGGAAAGUCUACAGAACAAGAGGUACCUCAUUGUAAUUGAUGAUAUAUGGGAUGAAAAACUAUGGGCCACUAUUAACUUGGCAUUCUCUAAGAGUAACACGUUUGGCAGUCGGUUGAUCACAACAACUCGUAUAGUGAGUGUAUCUAAAUUGUGUUGCUCCUCUAGUACUGAUUCAGUUUAUCAAAUGGAACCUCUUAGUGAUGAUGAUUCCAAAAGGCUCUUCUAUAAAAGGAUAUUUUCUGGCGAGAGUGGAUGUCCUCCUAAAUUUGAUGAAGUGUCCACAAAUAUAUUGGAGAAAUGUGGUGGAGUGCCACUAGCCAUCAUUACUAUAGCUAGUCUUUUGGCUAGUGAUCAAUGCAUAAAACCAGAGGAUGAAUGGCAUGUUUUGCUUAAGUCUAUUGGUCAUGGACUUACAGAGAACCCCAGUGUAGAGGAGAUGAUGAGGAUACUAUCAUUUAGCUAUUAUGAUCUUCCUUCUCAUCUGAAGACAUGUUUAUUAUAUUUAAGCAUGUUCCCGGAAGAUCAAGAAAUUAAAAAGGAUGGGUUAAUAUGGAUGUGGAUUGCAGAAAGCUUUGUCGAGUCUGGAAAUGGAAGAAUUAGUCUCUUUGAGAUUGGAGAAACAUACUUCAAUGAGCUUGUGAACAAAAGCAUGAUCCAGCCGGUAUAUGAUAAAGAAAGCGUCAUAGGCACAAUAUGUGCUUGUCGUGUACAUGAUAUGGUGCUUGAUCUCAUUUGUUUGUUAUCAAGGGAAGAGAACUUCGUUACUAUAGUGAAUGGUGUUAGCAAAGAAGAACAUGAAGCCACACCUCUGGAAUCUGGGCGUAUAUUACAAGUGAGGUCCAUUGCUACAUUUGAACCUGCCAUUCGUGUAAUGCCAUCUUUCUCGAGCUUUGAUGUUUUACGUGUAUUGGAUAUGACUAAAUGCCAUCUUGGCCCUAGUUGUCAUCUUAACCUUCGGGAAUUGGGGAGUUUAUUCCACCUAAGGUACCUAGGUCUAGCCAGUACAGGUAUUUCUAAGCUCCCAGAAGAAGUUGGAAAGUUGCAAUUUCUGCAGGUGCUGGAUUUGAGUAAUAAUUAUGAUAUACAAGAACUGCCAUCUACUAUUAGUAAGUUGGGAAGAUUGAUGUGCCUGCUUAUUAGCCAUUACUGCAAGAGAUUUCCAGAUGGAUUGGGAAACAUGUCCUCAAUGGAAGUGCUGCGUGACAUCAAUGGUGACACUCUAAGCAUUGUGAAAGAGCUGGGCAAGAUGAAAAGAUUGAGAAAGCUCGCAAUUAGGUUUGGUAAUUUGAGCUUGGAGUUGGAGGAAGCUUUUGUGAAGUCCCUGGGGGAAAUGGCCAACAUCCAAAGUGUAAGCAUUGGAUGUGAUUUUAAAUUUGUGGACAUCUUGGGGGAACAUUGGGUGCCCCCUCGAAGUCUCCGGGAAUUUACCACAUUCAGAGAUGUCAAGUUCUCCAUACUGCCUGCAUGGAUAAGAAAUAAUCCCUUGCAUCUUCCACAACUCUCUAACUUAAGCAUCUUCGUCGAGGAAGUGCAACAGGCUGAUCUGAGAUCCCUUGGAAAGUUACCGGCUCUUUGUAAUCUCGCCUUGUGGAGCCUCCGCCGAAGCAAGCUGCUAGUCAUCGGUGCCGAUGAGUUCCAUUGUCUGACAUCAUUCACGUCCUUUUCUGGUUCACCAGGCCAAGUCGUGUUCCAGCCAGGAGCUUUGCUGAAGAUUGAAGUAAUUGUCAUCGAUAUCGGCCUGCAGGUCACAAGAGAGGAAGUAGUUGGCAGUGUUGGAUAUUGUUUUGAUCUGAGCAUGGGGAACUUGCCAUCCCUUCGGGACGUCACUGUCAGAUUUGACCGUUCCGGAGUGACGGUCGGUGAGGCCAAGCAAGCGGAGGUUGCUCUAGGGAACACACUCCGCACCCAUCCUAACCGUCCCACCUUUGAAAUUUCCAUCAGGCCGAGCAUACCAGAAGACGCUCCUGAUGGUGACGUCCACAUUGAGGAGGAGUGA
This 2802-nucleotide ribosomal RNA is filed under the name Triticum aestivum (bread wheat). Its description in RNAcentral is "partial small subunit ribosomal RNA". Lineage: Eukaryota; Viridiplantae; Streptophyta; Magnoliopsida; Poales; Poaceae. The record is from RNAcentral.